Molecule: transfer RNA, 69 nt
Filed under: Ictidomys tridecemlineatus (thirteen-lined ground squirrel)
Lineage: Eukaryota; Metazoa; Chordata; Mammalia; Rodentia; Sciuridae
Description: Spermophilus tridecemlineatus (thirteen-lined ground squirrel) tRNA
Rfam family: tRNA
About the family: Transfer RNA (tRNA) molecules are approximately 80 nucleotides in length. Their secondary structure includes four short double-helical elements and three loops (D, anti-codon, and T loops).
Source: Rfam by way of RNAcentral
GGGGCUGUAGCUCAUUGGUAGAGCACUUGCCUCGCACACUGGAGGCACUGGGUUCGAUCCUCAGCACCA